Molecule: ribosomal RNA, 1464 nt
Filed under: Escherichia coli
Lineage: Bacteria; Pseudomonadati; Pseudomonadota; Gammaproteobacteria; Enterobacterales; Enterobacteriaceae
Description: bacterial SSU rRNA
Rfam family: Bacterial small subunit ribosomal RNA
Source: RNAcentral
UUUGCUGACGAGUGGCGGACGGGUGAGUAAUGUCUGGGAAACUGCCYGAUGGAGGGGGAUAACUACUGGAAACGGUAGCUAAUACCGCAUAACGUCGCAAGACCAAAGAGGGGGACCUUAGGGCCUCUUGCCAUCGGAUGUGCCCAGAUGGGAUUAGCUAGUAGGUGGGGUAACGGCUCACCUAGGCGACGAUCCCUAGCUGGUCUGAGAGGAUGACCAGCCACACUGGAACUGAGACACGGUCCAGACUCCUACGGGAGGCAGCAGUGGGGAAUAUUGCACAAUGGGCGCAAGCCUGAUGCAGCCAUGCCGCGUGUAUGAAGAAGGCCUUCGGGUUGUAAAGUACUUUCAGCGGGGAGGAAGGGAGUAAAGUUAAUACCUUUGCUCAUUGACGUUACCCGCAGAAGAAGCACCGGCUAACUCCGUGCCAGCAGCCGCGGUAAUACGGAGGGUGCAAGCGUUAAUCGGAAUUACUGGGCGUAAAGCGCACGCAGGCGGUUUGUUAAGUCAGAUGUGAAAUCCCCGGGCUCAACCUGGGAACUGCAUCUGAUACUGGCAAGCUUGAGUCUCGUAGAGGGGGGUAGAAUUCCAGGUGUAGCGGUGAAAUGCGUAGAGAUCUGGAGGAAUACCGGUGGCGAAGGCGGCCCCCUGGACGAAGACUGACGCUCAGGUGCGAAAGCGUGGGGAGCAAACAGGAUUAGAUACCCUGGUAGUCCACGCCGUAAACGAUGUCGACUUGGAGGUUGUGCCCUUGAGGCGUGGCUUCCGGAGCUAACGCGUUAAGUCGACCGCCUGGGGAGUACGGCCGCAAGGUUAAAACUCAAAUGAAUUGACGGGGGCCCGCACAAGCGGUGGAGCAUGUGGUUUAAUUCGAUGCAACGCGAAGAACCUUACCUGGUCUUGACAUCCACGGAAGUUUUCAGAGAUGAGAAUGUGCCUUCGGGAACCGUGAGACAGGUGCUGCAUGGCUGUCGUCAGCUCGUGUUGUGAAAUGUUGGGUUAAGUCCCGCAACGAGCGCAACCCUUAUCCUUUGUUGCCAGCGGUCCGGCCGGGAACUCAAAGGAGACUGCCAGUGAUAAACUGGAGGAAGGUGGGGAUGACGUCAAGUCAUCAUGGCCCUUACGACCAGGGCUACACACGUGCUACAAUGGCGCAUACAAAGAGAAGCGACCUCGCGAGAGCAAGCGGACCUCAUAAAGUGCGUCGUAGUCCGGAUUGGAGUCUGCAACUCGACUCCAUGAAGUCGGAAUCGCUAGUAAUCGUGGAUCAGAAUGCCACGGUGAAUACGUUCCCGGGCCUUGUACACACCGCCCGUCACACCAUGGGAGUGGGUUGCAAAAGAAGUAGGUAGCUUAACCUUCGGGAGGGCGCUUACCACUUUGUGAUUCAUGACUGGGGUGAAGUCGUAACAAGGUAACCGUAGGGGAACCUGCGGUUGGAUCACCUCCUUACCUUAAAGAAGC